CUAGAUGAUGAGGUGUAUUAGGACUAGAUGAUGAGGUGUAUUAGGACUAAAUUAUGUUGUGUAUUCGGACUAGAUGAUGAGGUGUAUUAGGACUAGAUGAUGAGGUGUAUUAGGACGAGAAGAUGAGGUGUAUUAGGACUACAUGAUGAGGUGUAUUAGGACUACAUGAUGUUGUGUAUUAUGACUACAUGAUGAGGUGUAUUAGGACUAGAUGAUGAGGUGUAUUAGGACUACAUGAUGAUGUGUAUUAGGACUACAUGAUGAGGUGUAUUAGGACUACAUGAUGAGGUGUAUUAGGACUACAUGAUGAGGUUUAUUAGGACUAGAUGAUGAG
Oncorhynchus tshawytscha (Chinook salmon) is the source of this 334-nucleotide long non-coding RNA. Lineage: Eukaryota; Metazoa; Chordata; Actinopteri; Salmoniformes; Salmonidae. The record is from Ensembl.